This 1412-nucleotide ribosomal RNA is filed under the name metagenome. RNAcentral describes it as "bacterial LSU rRNA". It matches the Rfam family "Bacterial large subunit ribosomal RNA", at positions 1484 to 2925 of the family's 2925-position model. The record is from RNAcentral.
GCCAUAGCCGGGAAAGGAAAGACCGGUGCAAGCGGGACAGUAGCCAUGCAGGCAAAUCCGUGUGGCAAUACGAAGACGUGACGCGGACCGAAAUAAAGUAGGGAAGCAUGUGAGCCAUGUGCCAAGAAAAGCCGCUAUAGAUCAUACCGUACCCGUACCGUAAACCGACACAGGUAGAUGAGGAGAGAAUCCUAAGGCCGACGGGAGAAGCAUUGUUAAGGAACUCGGCAAAAUGACCCCGUAACUUCGGGAGAAGGGGUGCCCACGCGAGUGGGCCGCAGAGAAUAGGCUCAAGCAACUGUUUAGCAAAAACACAGGUCUAUGCGAAACCGAAAGGUGAGGUAUAUGGGCUGACGCCUGCCCGGUGCUGGAAGGUUAAGAGGAGGAGUCAGGCAACGAAGCUCCGAAUUUAAGCCCCAGUAAACGGCGGCCGUAACAAUAACGGUCCUAAGGUAGCGAAAUUCCUUGUCGGGUAAGUUCCGACCCGCACGAAAGGCGUAAUGAUUUGAGCACUGUCUCGACAAUGCACCCGGUGAAAUUGAAGUACCAGUGAAGAUGCUGGUUACCUGCGCCAAGACGGAAAGACCCCAUGGAGCUUUACUCCAGUUUGAUACUGGGAUUCGAUACUGAAUGUACAGGAUAGGUGGGAGGCUGAGAAGCGUGGACGCCAGUCUGCGGUGAGCCGCUGUUGGGAUACCACCCUUUGAGUAUUGGAUUUCUAACCUGCGCCCGUGACCCGGGCGGGGGACAAUGUCUGACGGGGAGUUUGACUGGGGCGGUCGCCUCCGAAAGGGUAUCGGAGGCGCUCAAAGGUUCCCUCAGAAUGGUUGGAAACCAUUCGCAGAGUGCAAAGGCAGAAGGGAGCUUGACUGUGACACCGACGGGUGGAGCAGGUACGAAAGUAGGACUUAGUGAUCCGGUGGUAUGAAAGUGGGAUUGCCAUCGCUCAACGGAUAAAAGCUACCCUGGGAUAACAGGCUUAUCACUCCCAAGAGUUCACAUCGACGGAGUGGUUUGGCACCUCGAUGUCGGCUCAUCGCAUCCUGGGGCUGUAGCAGGUCCCAAGGGUUGGGCUGUUCGCCCAUUAAAGCGGUACGCGAGCUGGGUUCAGAACGUCGUGAGACAGUUCGGUCCCUAUCCGGCGCAGGCGUAGGAUAUUUGAGAGGAGCUGUCCUUAGUACGAGAGGACCGGGAUGGACAGACCGCUGGUGUAUCUGUUGGUGACCAACACCAUGGCAGAGUAGCCAAGUCUGGCAGGGAUAAACGCUGAAGGCAUCUAAGCGUGAAGCCCCCCUCAAGAUGAGAUAUCCCAAUAAGUAAGACCCCUUAGAGAGUAUGAGGUAGAUAGGCUUAAGGUGUAAGCAUAGUAAUAUGUUCAGCUGAUAAGUACUAAUAGGUCGAGGGCUUAUCAA